GCUGGGCCCAGUGGUGUACGCCUGUAAUCCCAGUGACACAGGAGGCUGAGGCUGGAGGAUGGAGCAUUAAAAGCCAGCCUCAG
RNAcentral lists this small RNA (83 nucleotides) under Marmota monax (woodchuck). The record is from RNAcentral. Lineage: Eukaryota; Metazoa; Chordata; Mammalia; Rodentia; Sciuridae.